GCUUCGACGAGGGAUACGGAUAAAAUACAAGCGUAAAACCUCGUUCGUUGCAGUAUAUUUUGAACAAAUAAACAAUUUAUUAGGAAAAUACGUUCAAGAAACGUCUCGUGCUGUACUAGCCUAAUUCUGGCAAAUGUUAUUUACUUUCUUCACCUUCGUGUCGACGACUGUUGUUUGCUGAUGGCCAAAUCACGACAGCGGACAUUAAUUAUUCAAAAUAUGUUCUUAUAGCUUCACGUAUACGAUACGAAUGUAAGAUUAUUUAUUUUUUGUAUAUGUAGGUUCUAGUUGAAAGUGACAGCGACGAUGAAAAAAGUGCACACAACAUUGAAAUAUCCAGUUCACUACUAGCUCAAAUCCUGCGACAUAUCACUUGCUAGUAGCCCAGUCUAGUUUAACUUUGCCCAAUCAAGAAUCAUCUCCUGAAUCAGGCAUACUGGCAACACUGGUUCAUUUGAUAAUGUAAGUUUUUAAACUGGUAUUUUAGAUUUAUAUAGCCUCUGUCAAAUCAGGUUGAAAAUCAUGCAUGAAUUGCUUAUCAAUACACAAAGGACAUUUCAAGUUCCAGAUGAACAAAAUAUUAUUAAAGCUUUGAUGAGUGUUCUGCAACUAUGUUUCAACUUUAAAAUACUCUCAUCCUAGUUUGACCCAUAAUUAGCAAUUUUACUCAUCAAGGGGAGAGCACUGGUGGUUAAUGUGUUAACUAGCCUAUCUGCCCAUGUGUACAUAGUUAACCCAUUGAGUCGCAUUGUGCCCUAAUGCGGCCUAAUUUAUUAUUUUACUCUGCCUAUCGCAGGACAAUAUUAAGUGCAGAGCGCUGGCGCUUAAUGUGUUAACUAGCCUAUCUGCCCAGGUGUGUUGUUAACACAUUGAGUUGCAUUGUGCCCUAAUUUAUUAUUUUACUCUGUCUAAUGCCAGAUGAUUUCACUCAUUAAGGGGAGAGCACUGGUGCUUAAUGGGGUUAACUGGCCUAUCUGCCCAUGUGUGUUGUUAACACAUUGAGUCGCAUUGUGCCCUAAUUUAUUAUUUUACUCUGUCUAACACCAGAUGAUUUUACUCGUCAAGGUAAGGGCGCUGGUGCUUAAUGGGUUUAACUGGCCUAUUUGCCCGUGUUUAUAGUUAACCCAUUGAGUCGCAUUGCGACCUACUUUAUUUUUUUUACUCUGUCUUGAGAGGAGAACGCUGGUGCUUAAGGGGUUAAUAUUGAAAAUAUAGAUCAACAUUUGUCAAAACGCAUGACUCAUUUCUGUAAUAAUUAAGAUAUUAAUUAAAAUACCAAAUAUAAUGCCUUAUGGCUUAUUUCAAAUAGGGAGAUGCUAUGUCCAUUGAAACUUAGUGGAUUUGUUGUAGUACAUCAAAUAAAUGCUAGCCAUAAACAUAUUCAAGUCAAUCGAAGAGAAUGUAGAAUUGCGCUUUACAUAAAAUUCCCUAGUUAUUGUACAUUAAUGAGAAAAAAAAAAGCAUUUGAAAGGAAAUAUAUUGUUUUAAUUUUAUUUCUAUGGUUUGUACUAUGAUAUACAUGGGCUAUACACUCUUUGGGAACCCGCAGGGCUGUUGGCAGAGCAUUUCCAUGAUCUGGAACUUCAGUCCUAAACACGAUGUGUGGGUGCGAAGAUGUUGUGUAGGAACAGAACUGUACAGAUUAGAAAUAUGAUUACUGAUAUUUUCCAAAGAAAAACUAUUAAUAUAUAGAAGAGGAAAGAAAGAGGCAAUUUGAAAUUUAAAAAUGGUAGGCUUAUUAAGGAUGAAAUACAGAGAAAAACAGUAAUGCAGAACUACAUUCUCUUAAAUUGUCAAAAUUAAACGCUACCAAUCUUGGUCUCGUUUCAAACUUGAAUAACAAAAAGUCUAAAAAUAUAAAAACUAUAAGAACAGAUCAGCUAAGUCCAGUUAUAAAAUUAAAUGAUGAAGGAAAGCUAUCAUUUUAGGAAAGUGUUGUUUUGGGGUGUGUAAACUCAUGAGGUUACAUGUUUCUGGUGAAUCUGUGCUUGCUGCAGCAAAAAAUUAUUAAUCGUUUGUGAUAUAAUUCACAAGAUGUCUAUUUUAACCUGUGAGUUGUGGAAUUUGUUUUGUCUGACCAAGAUAUAAUAAAUACCACUAGUGACAUGAGCAUGUCCAAUUAAUAUUUAACUAGAAAUAAAUGCAUGCAGCAACCCCUUGCCUAUAUUUUCCAAACAUUGAUUUAACAUGAACUAUUAGCAAUUGGCCAGCACUGAACGCAGGCUCACGUUGUGUCAAGUGUUGUCAAGGCAACAUAAUGUCACAUAUUUUAAAUUUUUUUGAGUGAUUUUGCAAGUGUUCAUACCACAGAAUCUACCAUACAUAAUUUUAAACAAAUAGAUAGGUGAAGUAAUUCAAACAAAAUGAUUUUGAACUUUACUACUCUACUCUGUCGAACGCCUAUUCUACUCGUAAAGGGGAGAGCCCUGGUGCUUAAUGGGUUAAAAAAGAUCGUAUAGUUAUAUGUAUAUCUUUAUUUUUAGGAGAGUUUGUUGCGAGGCAGCAUAUAUAUUGAUUUUUCAAAAUAUUACUGUAUAUUGUUAUGUUAAACUUAAUAUUAGAAUGUUAGGGUUUGGAAUCCAAGUGAGAAUAUAUACAUUUUAAGACCUAACCAGGAACGACUGCGAAAAAUGCAGCACAAGGUCCUCUGGUAGGAAUCAAACCUACGGCCCUGCGAUUCCGAUGCAGCGCUCUAACCAACUGAGCUACAGAGGCCAGCCAUUAAGCUGUAACCGUAAGUUCAUGUAUAUAUAGGUAAUCGGGUGUGCGGGUUGUGAUAAGGUGGACUUAAUGACUUAGAUUCUGCACUUCACUUGGUGGAAUUAAUAUUAUAAUGAAUCCAAGUGAGAAUAUAUACAUUUUAAGACCUAACCAGGAACAACUGCGAAAAAUGCAGCACAAGGUCCUCUGGUAGGAAUCAAACCUACGGCCCUGCGAUUCCGGUGCAGCGUUCUGAGCUACAGAGGCCAGCUGUUAAGCUGUAACCGUAAGUUCAUGUAUAUAUAGGUAAUCGGGUGUGCGGGUUGUGAUAAGGUGGAUUUCAUCGUGAUUCUAAUAUUAAUUCCACCAAGUGAAGUGCAGAAUCUAAGUCAUGUUAUACUUAAUGCUUUUGGAAGAGUUAUAGGGGUCGGGUGUGAUAUACUUUUUCAGGUAUUUUGUGUCUGAUGUAUGUAAGAGCUUUAUUAAUGGGUUUCUUGGUGAGACCUUAUAUCUUAUGUGUCCUAUAACCCCCUGUAAUUGCGGAUUAUUGCAUACAUUCUAAUUGUGUUUUUUUUUGUAGGAGUCUGAAGAUGCAAAUGAUAUAAUUUCAAACUUAUCACAACCCAUAUUGUGGUCGUUGGCAUCGAACUUACUAGAAUACGACUAGAAACUGUCAAUCAUACGUUAUCGAGGGAAAGGAUGAAAGUUCCAUAACAAGCAACAGUUGUUUUGAUGCAAUUAUCGCCUUAUUGGCAAGUUUUUACAUCUUCAAUAUUGAGUACUGCCACACGAAGAGCAUCUUGUCUGCCUUGCAGACUAUAGUAGUGCAUGGGCAAGACAGAAAUGAGGGUCACAGCCCUCUUCAAUGACUUGUCAUGACUCAUGAGUAUUAGUACUACAGUAAUUUUACACUUUUUGAGAGUUAUGUUGACAUAUGCUAACCCAAGUUAAUGUUAUUGAUGGAAUGUGUGUAUUGUCUCACAUCUCACCGAACUGUGGUAAUGUAUUAGAAAUUAUUCGUAUUGCGUUCAUGUUAACAACCGCGCCUGCUAUUGCUAUCACAAUUUGAUUGCUCUUUAAAAUUAGAAUUGUAAACUUUCGGAGCCAUAUGGCAUAUAUGUACGAAUCUUUUGAUGGUUCCCACAUUUCGGUGAGAUCCAUAAUACUGACUACUGUGCAUGUAUAUUGUAAUUUUAGUUAUAGUAUUGUGUUUAUAAUACAGAAAUUGGUACAUUUAUCUCAACUUAUAUUGCAAUAAUUCAUUCCAAUCUUGGUCUGUUGGAGAAAUUGUAAUAAUUUAAUCAAGACCAAAUAAACCCCAAUAUUUUUGCC
Non-coding RNA from Paramuricea clavata, 4032 nucleotides. NCBI's taxonomy places the organism in Eukaryota, Metazoa, Cnidaria, Anthozoa, Malacalcyonacea, Plexauridae. The record is from the annotation of a GenBank genome assembly.